Molecule: non-coding RNA, 119 nt
Organism: Gossypium raimondii (Peruvian cotton)
Lineage: Eukaryota; Viridiplantae; Streptophyta; Magnoliopsida; Malvales; Malvaceae
Source: Rfam
GGGUGCGAUCCUACUAGUACUAAUACACCGGAUUCCAUCGGAACUCCGCAUUUAAGCGUGCUUGGGCGAGUGUAGUACUACGAUGGGUGACCUCCUAGGAAGUCCACGUGUUGCACCAU